UAGGGACUUUUUGUUGACCCCCUUGAAUCUGUCUUCCUGUCUCCCAGACCAGCUUUCUAACGACACUAACUAUGUUUUGCUUCUUUCUCGUUCCCCUAAGAUAGGGGCUGGGAGCACGAUCAUAACAUCAGGCUUCUGGUUAGAGACUUACAAAGCAAUUAUUUGAGCUUUGCCACAACUUUGGGAGAAAAGAACUACAGGUUUAAUCUGUAUGCCCAUUUGACAGAUGCAGAAACCGAGAGAUGGGCAAUGAUCUGACCAGGAUCCUCUAGUAAGCAAAGCCUUGGGAAUCCUGGCUUCUGGGAGCCAAAGAAUGUGAACUGAGGACAGCUUGGUUUCCUGGGAAAGACUUCUGGGGACAAGAGCCACCCACAAGCCAGGCGUGUCUGGGUCCCUUGCUGGCCCAGGCAGACAAUUUUAGAGCUCAGACCUCCCGACCGGAAGAGAAUCUCCAGGCUGCACUUAUCUCGUAUUUUUGGAAAGCGUGGGGGCCGACUUAUUGGGGGAAACACUCCGGGGCCUCCUUUGGGAAGCUUGGGGGGAGCUGAGGCACACAAGCACAGACAGGAGGCUGGGAAUAAAGGCAGUGGAUGACCUUUGCGGAGGUCCAGAGUAGGGCAUCGCCAGUGCCUGGGGAAUUUGUCUGUUGCUAUGGGAAACCAGGAGCCGGCAGCGCCAGCAGCAUCCGGAGUUGCUUAGUAACCGCUGGGAGGCGGAGACAGCCUAGCGAGGCGGGGAAUGAAAAGAUGCCUUUAUCCGCAGCCCAGACCAUGAUAAGCUCCAAAUGGGAACAAGAGCUAGAUGGGAAGAGCCACAUCACCAGAGAGCUGGAUGAAGAGGAAAAGAGGCCCUUUUCAGCUGUGGAUGAGGGAAGAGUUCCUGACCAAACAAGGGAGAGAGGAAAUCGGAGCAGUUCCUGCAGAUGGAGACCUCUGAACCCUAACCCUAACCCCAGGUGAGGGGGGGUCUAGACCUCUACCUGAAGGAGCAUGGUCUCCUUGAGGCACUGGACUACCUCACUUUUGCCUUUCUUUUCUCCGGUACCUAGCACAAUGCCUGGUACCUGGCAGGUGCCAGC
This 1078-nucleotide long non-coding RNA is filed under the name Monodelphis domestica (gray short-tailed opossum). RNAcentral's name for it is "lncRNA (ENSMODG00000031473.2)". The record is from RNAcentral. Lineage: Eukaryota; Metazoa; Chordata; Mammalia; Didelphimorphia; Didelphidae.